Molecule: small nucleolar RNA, 136 nt
Organism: Lampris incognitus (smalleye Pacific opah)
Lineage: Eukaryota; Metazoa; Chordata; Actinopteri; Lampriformes; Lampridae
Product: small nucleolar RNA SNORA57
Exons: 1
Source: RefSeq, a predicted model, not a curated record
CCUCCAUUUCUUGGCAUACAUGCUGUUGCUCAGUAUUCAUGUGUGUAAUGUACGGAGGUAGAGCAAAGCCAGCGCUAUGUCUUCGGUACCGGUGUGUUCUUGUCUGCCGGUCCUAUCCUCAAACGCUGGUAUACUG